CUUGAAUCUGGGCACAGGGAACACCUGAGUUCUAACACUCGAGAGGCCAGUCAUUCCUCCAAAGGCGCUGAACUGGGACUCACAGGCUGUGCCUCAGACUCCAGUAAAUGGAACAGCCGUUGCUCUUACCUUGAAAUCUUCCAUGCUGACCUCUGGAAAGAGAUUAAGCCCUUGAGAACAGCAAAUGGGGAUGACUGGCUCCUUCCACCGGAAAGCGUGCUUCCUGAAGAGGCCUGUGUGAAACAAGCUCUCCCAAGUGGGGUGCUGCCAUGGAACCAAGUUUUAUGGGAGCCGAAAGAAGUACUCUGGCCUGGAGCUUCAGGAAGGAUAAGUCCGAGCAAAGUAGAGGAGGCAAAGGCUUUCCAGGCAGAGGGAAAGCAAGCACAAUGGCUAAGAGGCGGAGCAAGUAAGAAAAGUUCAGCGCAAUAUGGCUCAAGCUCAGCCCAGUACAGCUCAAGUGCGAAAAUCAGGGAGAAGGAUUCAAGUUGAAGCCGGAGAGGUGAGUGGAGCACCAUUCUGGAGGAGCCAGACCCACUGGCCAUCCAUUCUGUCUGAAGGACAACAGCAGCCAAGCAUUGUAAGCAGGGAUUGACC
This 594-nucleotide long non-coding RNA is filed under the name Chinchilla lanigera (long-tailed chinchilla). RNAcentral describes it as "lncRNA (ENSCLAG00000022387.1)". Lineage: Eukaryota; Metazoa; Chordata; Mammalia; Rodentia; Chinchillidae. The record is from RNAcentral.